This 228-nucleotide non-coding RNA is filed under the name Billgrantia desiderata. The record is from RNAcentral. Lineage: Bacteria; Pseudomonadati; Pseudomonadota; Gammaproteobacteria; Oceanospirillales; Halomonadaceae.
AGCUUACGCCCACUCUCAGGCGCCUCAUUGUCCUAUCGAGGUUAAACGGGAAGUCGGUGGUCCUCUUCGCAGUCGAAGAGGCGCAUUCCGACGCUGCCCCCGCAACGGUGAUCGAGUGCAGGUCCAUCAUCACGCCACUGUGCUUUGCAUGGGAAGGCGAUGGACCCGGAGCGUGUAGUCGGCGCUUCACUCGUCAGCCCGGAGACCGGCCUGAGGGCGGGAAACAUC